AGGACGAACGCUGGCGGCGUGCUUAACACAUGCAAGUCGAACGAGGCCCUACCUUCGGGUAGGUGACCUAGUGGCGAACGGGUGAGUAACACGUGGGCAACCUACCCUCAGCUCUGGGAUAACCCCGGGAAACCGGAGCUAAUACCGGAUAUGACCUGGAACGACAUCGUUCUUGGUGGAAAGUUUUUCGGCUGAGGAUGGGCCCGCGGCCUAUCAGCUUGUUGGUGGGGUAAUGGCCCACCAAGGCGACGACGGGUAG
This 259-nucleotide ribosomal RNA is filed under the name uncultured bacterium. RNAcentral's name for it is "partial small subunit ribosomal RNA". It matches the Rfam family "Bacterial small subunit ribosomal RNA", at positions 26 to 286 of the family's 1533-position model. The record is from RNAcentral.